AUUGAACGCUGGCGGCAGGCUUAACACAUGCAAGUCGAGCGAGCGGCGGACGGGUGAGUAAUGUCUGGGAAACUGCCUGAUGGAGGGGGAUAACUACUGGAAACGGUAGCUAAUACCGCAUACCAUCAGAUGUGUCCAGAUGGGAUUAGCUAGUCGGUGGGGUAAUGGCUCACCUAGGCGACGUUCCCUAGCUGGUCUGAGAGUAUGACCAGCCACACUGGAACUGAGACACGGUCCAGACUCCUACGGGAGGCAGCAGUGGGGAAUAUUGCACAAUGGGCGCAAGCCUGAUGCAGCCAUGCAGCGUGUGUGAAGAAGGCAUGCGGGUUGUAAAGCACUUUCAGCGAGGAGGCGUUACUCAAAGAAGAAGCACUGGCGAACGCCGUGCCAACCGCCGCGGUAAUAC
Molecule: ribosomal RNA, 406 nt
Filed under: uncultured bacterium
Lineage: Bacteria
Description: partial 16S ribosomal RNA
Rfam family: Bacterial small subunit ribosomal RNA
Source: RNAcentral